AGUCCCACCAUCAAUCCCACAGUGUGGAGACCUUGUUGAUGCCUGUUUUCUACCCUGAAAAGUGGCUUUUGAGCCUCAUAUUUGCUUUGUGUCCCGCCUUCAAUUUUCCAUCUGUAAAGAGUUUUCUCAUCAUGUGUGCUUCUUUCCUCCAUCAAGCUGGUAACAUCUCUGUGCUCACUGCUGCUUUAAGCCCUUCCUGUUCCUGGAAAUGCUGACUAUUUUCCAGUGCCUGGAGCCUGCAGCAGCAGUGUGUCUAAACCCAGGCAGCCGACAGCACAGCUUGAGAGCUCAACUACUGCUGUAAGAUUUUGAAGACAAGCAGAUUUCACAAGGCUGCAGCUUAAAGUAUUUCUAGAAGCGAGUUCCUCUCCAGAGUUUUCAGAGAAGAUGUGUAUGAUCACUGAUACUUUCCAGUCUUGGUUUUUGGUGAGUGAGGUGAAGAAAGGGAAAUGCUGGGAAAGAGAAUGUGCAAAACCUCAGUGCAAGAAGCAGUGUCUGCUCCGCUGCAGAGCCUUCUCACAGCACAGGCAGGCUGCACGCUCCCACUGGAAACUGCAAAACAAAGAAGAGGAACUCACAGCACACAUUCUGGAGUGCCUAAGGACUAUUUCUGUUCCUGCCAACCUGCUCCCAGCCUGGACAAUAAUGAAGGCAUGCUGGUGUGGGAGGCCCCAUACAUGCCACCACGUUUUGCAGAUCAAGCGUUUGCCAUCGCAGUUUUAGAUACUUUAAUUUUUCUGCCUGGUUCAUCCAUAUUCUAGAGUACAAGAAAGUAGGAAUACUGUGGAAGUAAAUCUUCACCUGUGGUAGAUUUCUAGUUAAACUUGUUAAGCACUGGUCUGAUUUUGUAAGUUGUUCCACGUGAGCAAGCAGAGGGGCUGCAGCCAGCAGGGAGCAAGGCUUGACUGCAUCCGGUGGGGGUGGCUUUCCUGCAGGGUGACAAGUUUGAGCCAAGAGUUUUUCAAAAUAAGUUUCCUUCUUCCCAUUCCCAUAUGGGCUUCAGAAGCUGCAUGGUGGCUGUUUUCUGAGAGGAGGUGAAUCUAAAGCAAGCCAAAGUGAGUGAAGCCACAUUAGCAUUAGGGUUUGUUUGUAUGGUCAGAGGCUUAACCAUGCUGUCAGUCCUGAUGAGUACAUGGAGAAGUGGUGGCAAUUUGUGGGGAAGCCUCCAGGCUUUUGCAUGAGGUGUGGACUGACUGUGGUUGGAGCUGCGUUUUUUCUUCCCCCUGUAUAAGUGACCUCCUUGGAAAAUAAACCCCAGGACUUGUGUCAGAGGAGUGCUCUGCAUGCCUUGAAUGGUUCCACACACGGCUGCGGUGUGUGUAGCUGUGUGUGUACAUGGAAUAGCCGUGCUCACACCAACAUCCUCCCUCAAGAAUCCUGCUGCGGGAGGACAGUUAUAAAUAACUUUGGCCACUAUAAUUGUUCUGCCAGUACAGGCUGCCAGAGAAACACAUUGACUCAGCACAUGCCUGAGCAAGGUCCUCUCCCAGGCAGCACCUCCCACCGUACAAACGUCCCUGCAAACCCUGUAGGUGCCUGGUGGGACAGCGAGCCCCAUCUGGCUGCUGCUGCGAGCUGCCAUCAGCCAGUGCUGAAUCAGAUUAAUGUUUGGAAAACAUACUGAGGACAAAAAAAAGCACUGCUUAGGCACUAGUUGAUAUUAUUUCAGUGGCCCCAGUGACAAUUCUGUUAUUGCAGGAGCUGCAGGUGCCUUUCCACGCAGUGGUAACUCUGGGUGUUCUCAGUGGAAAAAUGAGCGUUCUUCUGCCGCUCUCACGGAGCUGCGCUGGUCUUUACCAAGCCAAGUAAGAUGGCCUGGCAUGUGUUCAGUGACAAGAGGAACAAAAUUGUCCCUCAUGCAAGCGUCCUUAACAUCUACUGCUGCUAUGGCUUUUAUGCCUCUUCUGGCUGCCUCAGUCUUGCCAAAGACAGCUCCCUGGCCCUGUACCAGGCAGGAGGCUACAAUCAAAUUUUCUUGCUGUUGUUCCUGAAACUAUAUGAAUUCUUUUUGAUAAUUACAUGGGAGGCUCUUGUUCUUAUUUUUAAAAUUGCUUUCAAGAUAGUAAUUAGGAAGCUGUCAUUGUUCAUUCCUUCAAAGCAGGUUCUACAUGGAGUAAAGAACCUAGAGAUGUGAUUUACUUUAUAUCACUUGGGGUACCACAAUGGUUAUAAAAGAAUCCAAAUGUAAUUUUCCUGGGAAAAUAAUUCCUCUGUUAUAUAGGCCCUUUUUUGCUAUACAUUUCAGGGCCUGUUUUACCAGUGCGAUUUGAAAUUAUUCAGAAGAAAUCCCUGACUUUUUUUGUUUGUGCAAGUAUCAAAUCUCCAUUUUUUAUUCUGCUAAUUCUCUCUUGGAGACUGCUUUUUUAUUAAUGUCUAAAAGUAAUUGCAAACUCUAACUUUCCAAGAACCUAUUGAAUGUACACAGCGUGUUCCCUUGAAUGCAUGUCUCCAUUUAAACCAGCACAAUUACUUGGAGGUACACAGGUCUACUAAGGUGUUAUUCUUGCAUUGCUGUAUCUCUUUCCUGAAAUGGUGAUGCAGCAUGCCUUUAUGUGAGUAAAAUCAUAUGUACAGUAAAUAUUUUACUAGUAUAACUACUUUGGUAAAAUAAAAUCAUACCCAGUCUAAUUAUAAUGAAAAUACCCAGGGUGUUGACCAAGACUCACCUGUUAAUUCCUUAUUACAGUAUGUUUCCAGCUGCAACAGAAUUUAAAUAUCAUAUUUUCUCUUGUGGGUUAUUUGAAUUUUUUUCCAUAAUGUCACAGAUUUAUUAUUUCUGAAUACAAUUACAACAUCAGUUACAAUGGGAACGUUUUUAUCUUUGCCCUAUGUCCCACAGAGACAAACCUUGAGAAGUCAAACUGUAAGCUUUCAAAAAUAAGCUUAUCUGUGAGGUUAAACAAGGUGUGGCAACCCUGACAUGGGAUUCCUGCAUCAAGAAAAUGUUAUUUUUCUAGCCCCUUGUAGUGGUCCUCAUUCUACAAUGUGAAAAUACUUUUAUAGAUUUGUAUUUAUGUAUUUUUAGCACUGUUAUAUUCUGUGUUUUCAGUGGAGAUGUUAUAUUUAGAAGUUUCUAAAAAUGUGGAGCAUGUGUUAGGUUUUUUUUGCGUAAUCCAUCAAGACUAAUUUGAUUUGAGACCGGUGCCUUUUUUUCCCCCCAUCUGUUUGGAAAAGUGCAGUUGUAGAGACAUCAGUCAUGUAACACUUUCUACAAAACAGCUUUACUGACAGUUGGGAGUUGUCAGUAACCAUGUGGAUUUCAAGCUCUCAGUCUGGCUAUGAUGAGAAAAACUCUCUGACACAUAAUUUCCACAGAGCCACAGAAUUUGAGGCUGGAAAGACCCAGAGUGCUCAUCUAGCUGACCUCCCACCCAGACAACCCAGAGGUAAGUCAUGUUUCAAGCCUAAUAGCUGCAGAAAACAGCAGCUUUUGGGACAAACAUACACUCAAUUUAACAGCAUUUUCACACCAAUCACCACUGAUUUUAUUUUGUAUAUAUGUUGUGUACAUAACUGAGGCUUGUUUCCUGUUUCAACUGAUCUAAUUUCAACUUCCAGCCUUUGGGAAAGCUUUAAGAGAUUCUGAGUCUGUGUUCCCUGUCUAACUAUGUGGAGACCAAACUCAGUUUUGGGUGGGGAUAGAACAGGCAGAUGCCCCAGGAAAGCAAAUUCCUGGAAGCAGGAGAAGAGUUCUGCAGAGGUAAACCCAUGUCCCUGCUGCCCAUGCCCGCAGUCCACUGAGAGUUUGCUACCCAGUGCUGGGGCAGAGGCAGGAGCAGGGGCUUGCAGGGCUUGGCACAGGCUUGGUGGGCUUGACGUGGACUUGCAGGGCUCUGCCUUUGUGUAGGAGAUGGAGGAAAGCACUUCAAAGUGCCCAUAAAGGCUCUUUUCAUUUCAAAUAAGAAGAAGCAAAACUCCUUUUUGCCCGUGUCAUUGAGAAAUGUGGGAUUUUCUCUUCAGACCAGUGCAGCGUUCUCCACUGUGUUCACCUUUGUGAAGAUACCAUGCUGAAGUGUUUCCAUCUCUCAUUGUAAGGUGUUUUAUAGCCUCUAGGAUUCUCUCCUGUUCAUUUGUGUCCCACUCAGGAGGUGGCCUGAACAGAACAGCCCAUGAAGGCCAGUGUUAGAGGUGACAUAAGGUACUGCAUCAUACUUGGCCUAUAUCCAUGUCUUUUCCCUAACCCUGGCUCAUCAGCAUGGGCUCUCUUCUGCUGUGAGUCUUUCAUCCUUCUAUGUGUCUGAGCUUGCUUUUGGCUGCAUUGGAAAGAUUAUGGUUUUCCCACGCAAAUGAUCAAGCUGACUGUUUGGGUUAGAAUCUUUCCUCCUUGUUGCAUACUGUUGCACUGAUUUUGGAGUUUUUUAAAAAUCUUACUCAGGAAUCAUUGUAGCAAAUAUUUUGUGCAGUGCAAAAAUAAGAAAUCAUGUAUAUUCAGCUACCUUCUUGCAAAUUGGAGAUGAAUUAACUUAAUCUUAUUUAUUAUAAUAUUUUUCUAUCAUUUCAUACUGUUAUCAUUUUAUUUAGUUACUUCUAGAAUCAAGGGGUUCAUCUAGGUCAACAUCCUGCUUGAAAUGGGGCUGUGACCAAUAGUGGAUGAGGUCAGCCACACUACAGAUGAAUCCUGAAACACCUUCAGGAGCAGAAGUUCCACAGGCUCUCUGGGCAGCCUGUGUCAGGCUCUGCCAGUGAACAUGUCCUGUCCAGACCUCAGCAUGUAUUCCCUCCUACAGCCUUUAGCACUAAGAAGUUUGGCUCUCUUCUGUAUAGCCAUCCUGUUCCAGCAGCCCUUAGCCUUCCCUUGAUCAGAUUCAACAGGCUCAGCUCCCUCAGCCCCUCUCAUGUUGCUCCAGGCCUCUGAUGAUCUCAGCAGUGCUUUACUGGACCCUUUCCAAAUUGACACUUCUGGCCUUAUGCCCUCUGUAAUCCCCAACUCCUUUUAAGCAGGAUGGCUCCUCAGUGAGGUGCUUCCCAGCCUGGAACAGAUCAUGUUUCCUUGUUGAACAUCAUGGGGUGUCUGUUGGCCCGGAUCUCGAGUAUAUAAAGGAGCCUCUGCAUGGGAGCUUUGCUGUUUGUCAGUGCAGGCAGCUUAAGUCAUCAACAAAUCUGACAGUGUCACCAUCAAGGUAUCUGAUGAAGAUACUGAACAGUGUGGAUUUUGGUACUGACCCCAUGGGUGCACCUCUGGUUGCUGGUGACCUGUCAGGCGUGACCAGACAGUUUUCAGUCCCUCUUUCAACCUGUUUUUUUGGCCCACACCCUCUAAGCUUCCAAAUGAUAUUAUGUGGAAUGAUGUCAAUACCUUACAGGGUACAGUACAGGCAGCACUUUC
Molecule: long non-coding RNA, 5326 nt
Organism: Motacilla alba alba
Lineage: Eukaryota; Metazoa; Chordata; Aves; Passeriformes; Motacillidae
Exons: 4
Source: RefSeq, a predicted model, not a curated record